CUAGCCCUAAACGAUGUAGACUAGACGUCGGCGGUGUAAUAACUGUCGGUGUCCAAGCUAACGCGAUAAGUCUACCGCCUGGGGACUACGGCCGCAAGGUUAAAACUCAAAGGAAUUGAC
Molecule: ribosomal RNA, 120 nt
Filed under: uncultured bacterium
Lineage: Bacteria
Description: partial 16S ribosomal RNA
Rfam family: Bacterial small subunit ribosomal RNA
Source: RNAcentral